GAUGAACGCUGGCGGCGUGCCUAAUACAUGCAAGUCGAGCGAACGGACGAGAAGCUUGCUUUUCUGAUGUUAGCGGCGGACGGGUGAGUAACACGUGGAUAACCUACCUAUAAGACUGGGAUAACUUCGGGAAACCGGAGCUAAUACCGGAUAAUAUUUUGAACCGCAUGGUUCAAAAGUGAAAGACGGUCUUGCUGUCACUUAUAGCUGGAUCCGCGCUGCAUUAGCUACGUGGUAAGGUAACGGCUUACCAAGGCAACGAUGCAUAGCCGACCUGAUGGGGUUGUCGGCCACCCUGGAACUUGGAAACGGUCCAGUCUCCUACGGGAGGCAGCAGUAGGGAAACUUCCGCAAUGGGCGAAAGCCCGACGGAGCAACGCCGCGUGAGUGAUGAAGGGCUUCGGAUCGUAAAACUCUGUUAGUAGGGAAGAACAUAUGUGUAAUUAACUGUGCACAGCUUGACGGUACCUAAUCAGAUAGCCACGGCUAACUACGGG
Molecule: ribosomal RNA, 497 nt
Filed under: uncultured bacterium
Lineage: Bacteria
Description: partial 16S ribosomal RNA
Rfam family: Bacterial small subunit ribosomal RNA
Source: RNAcentral